UACGUAGGGUGCGAGCGUUGUCCGGAAUUAUUGGGCGUAAAGGGCUCGUAGGCGGUUUGUCGCGUCGGGAGUGAAAGUCCAGGGCUUAACUCUGGACUGGCUUCCGAUACGGGCAGACUAGAGGUAUGCAGGGGAGAACGGAAUUCCUGGUGUAGCGGUGAAAUGCGCAGAUAUCAGGAGGAACACCGGUGGCGAAGGCGGUUCUCUGGGCAUUACCUGACGCUGAGGAGCGAAAGUGUGGGGAGCGAACAGG
This 253-nucleotide ribosomal RNA is filed under the name uncultured bacterium. RNAcentral describes it as "partial 16S ribosomal RNA". It matches the Rfam family "Bacterial small subunit ribosomal RNA", at positions 524 to 776 of the family's 1533-position model. The record is from RNAcentral.